This 2246-nucleotide ribosomal RNA is filed under the name Candidatus Wildermuthbacteria bacterium. Its description in RNAcentral is "partial 23S ribosomal RNA". It matches the Rfam family "Bacterial large subunit ribosomal RNA", at positions 2034 to 2754 of the family's 2925-position model. Lineage: Bacteria; Candidatus Wildermuthiibacteriota. The record is from RNAcentral.
CGGUGAAAAUGCACUUCCGGUGAAGAUGCCGGAUACCUGUAGUUAGACGAAAAGACCCCAGGAGCUUUACUACAGCUUCGUAUUGGCACUGCGGGAUUCAUGCGUAGCAUAGGUGGGAGACUUUGAAGCAUCGGUUUCGGCUGGUGUGGAGUCGCAAUAUGAAAUACCACUCUUGAAUUUUGCAGUGUCUAACCCCGUUGGGAUCCAACGGGGGACCGUGCGUGGCAGGUAGUUUUGGUGGGGCGCUAUCCUCCUAAAAAGUAACGGAGGAGUCUAUUAAGGUUCUCUAGCCGCGAAUGGAAACCGUGGCGAUAGUGUAAUGGCAUAAGAGAGCUUAACUGCAAGGGGUACAUCCCAAGCAGAUGCGAAAGCAGAGCAUAGUGAACCGAUGGUACGCCUUAGAUGCGGCCAGAGAUUAACGGAUAUAAGUUACCCUGGGGAUAGGUCCUGAAAUAAGGGCCCGUUGUCCUCCCGCGGAGUAAGCAAAGCUUGCUCCCAGCGCUCGUUCGCAAGAGAAAAAUCAGAAUCUUUCUCUUGUCUCGCUCGCUUGGUAGUAAUUCGCGGAUAUAAGAACGGCUUAUAACGGUGAAAACCCAUUGCAAAAUGGAUAAUACCGUGGGAAGUCGGGAAUGUUAGUAUGAAGAAAAGUUUAUGCCAAAAAUAUGAAAAGUAUUAGUCUGACAAGAAAUCAAAAAGCAAUUCUCGUAGGUACUCUUCUUGGUGAUGGGUACUUGCAGAAGACUGGCGAGAAGAACGCGCGGCUUCGAUUAGAGCAUGGCGAGAAGCAGAAGGACUAUGUGCUGUGGAAGAUGCACGCAUUCCCGCGUCUCUUUCAAGGCAAGGCAGUUCAUAUGUACCGCGUGCACCCAAAGACGCUCGCGACAUACGAAUAUUGGCGCGCGCAAUCAAGCUCGUCGCCGGUGUUCGGAACGUGGCGCAAACUGUUUUAUCCAGUCGGCAAAAAGCGCAUACCGGAAAAUCUUUCAAAGAUUCUAACGGAACCGCUCGCGCUCGCUGUGUGGUAUAUGGACGACGGGUAUUACAACCCGAAGGACAAAAACAGCUUCUUGUAUCUUGGCAGAGUGUCUGAAGUGGAGGCGCAGUGCGCGCGUGAUAUGCUUGAAAAGAAUUUUGAGCUUUCAGUGCGCGUGUACGAUAAAAAGAGUAAGGGCUUCGCGCUCUACUUCUCUACAGAAGAGACAAAAAAAUUGCAUAAACUAAUCAGGCGACACAUCGUGUUGCCAACGUUCGCCUAUAAAUUAGGCGACAUUCCUUGACCCCGUAACGACUUGAUUCCUUAUUGGAAUCGGAGCGAUUCACUUUGUCGAACGAGUGAAUCGCUAAGACGCCGUCUCCCUCCCCCGUUUCUGAAACGGGGGAGGGAUGAAGAUAUAGUCUAUUCUUGGAAAAGAUUGAACAGGCUAGUUCCGCCCAAGCGUCCUUAGCGACGGCGGAGUUCGGCACCUCGAUGUCGGCUCACCAUAGCGCGGGGCUGGAGAAGGUCCCAAGCGUUUGGCUGUUCGCCAAUUAAAAUGGUACGCGAGCUGGGUUCAAACCGUUCGGUAGGGAAGGCUCUAGGAAGUUAGGCUUUAGGCUUUAGCUCAAAUGCUAAUGCCUAGCGCCUAGCGCCUAGUUCCCUUAUCUUUCGAACGGUUUGAACCCACGAGGAAUUGUUAGGUGCGUGGAGACGCACUGUGCUUAGACAUACUCACGGCGGUCGCAUAUGGGAACAUAUGCGAAGAAAUCAACUUAUAUCGGUAGAAACCCAUGAGAUGGCGGCUACGCCUAUCUCACGGGUCAAUACCGAGGGAAGAAAAUUGUGAACUUCACAGAGGAACUUGAGACAACCUGUGCGUUAGUGAUUUCGCGGCGCGCGGGAUUACGGGAAGCCUCCGGGCGGGAUCUCAAGAGGGAAAUCCUCUGGUAAGGGAAGCGGCUUAACAACCGUUAUAAAAAUUCCUUUACCUCUUCUGUGAAGUUCACAAUAAUCACCCGUAGAGACUGAAUGUUGAUCAGCGAGAACCGCUGAAGUUACAGUCCGAUCCCGUCAGUAAUGGCGGUGUCAUUGGGAGCUAGAGCCUAAAGCCUAGCGCCUAAUGGCUACUUAGAUGCGUGAGACAGGUUGGUCUCCUAUCUACUACAGGCGUUGAUUCUUGAGGAGGGUUGUCCCUAGUACGAGAGGACCGGGAUGAACUGACCUCUGGUCUACCAGCUGUCCUGCCAAGGGCACCGCUGGGUAGCUAUGU